RNAcentral lists this ribosomal RNA (2907 nucleotides) under Salmonella enterica subsp. enterica serovar Infantis str. CVM 22577. RNAcentral's name for it is "bacterial LSU rRNA". It matches the Rfam family "Bacterial large subunit ribosomal RNA". RNAcentral also lists the same sequence under 1 other name. Lineage: Bacteria; Pseudomonadati; Pseudomonadota; Gammaproteobacteria; Enterobacterales; Enterobacteriaceae. The record is from RNAcentral.
GGGUUGUGAGGUUAAGCGACUAAGCGUACACGGUGGAUGCCCUGGCAGUCAGAGGCGAUGAAGGGCGUGCUAAUCUGCGAUAAGCGCCGGUAAGGUGAUAUGAACCGUUAUAACCGGCGAUACCCGAAUGGGGAAACCCAGUGUGACUCGUCACACUAUCAUUAACUGAAUCCAUAGGUUAAUGAGGCGAACCGGGGGAACUGAAACAUCUAAGUACCCCGAGGAAAAGAAAUCAACCGAGAUUCCCCCAGUAGCGGCGAGCGAACGGGGAGGAGCCCAGAGCCUGAAUCAGCAUGUGUGUUAGUGGAAGCGUCUGGAAAGGCGCGCGAUACAGGGUGACAGCCCCGUACACAAAAGCGCAUGUGCUGUGAGCUCGAUGAGUAGGGCGGGACACGUGGUAUCCUGUCUGAAUAUGGGGGGACCAUCCUCCAAGGCUAAAUACUCCUGACUGACCGAUAGUGAACCAGUACCGUGAGGGAAAGGCGAAAAGAACCCCGGCGAGGGGAGUGAAAAAGAACCUGAAACCGUGUACGUACAAGCAGUGGGAGCNNGUGACUGCGUACCUUUUGUAUAAUGGGUCAGCGACUUAUAUUCUGUAGCAAGGUUAACCGAAUAGGGGAGCCGGAGGGAAACCGAGUCUUAAUUGGGCGUUAAGUUGCAGGGUAUAGACCCGAAACCCGGUGAUCUAGCCAUGGGCAGGUUGAAGGUUGGGUAACACUAACUGGAGGACCGAACCGACUAAUGUUGAAAAAUUAGCGGAUGACCUGUGGCUGGGGGUGAAAGGCCAAUCAAACCGGGAGAUAGCUGGUUCUCCCCGAAAGCUAUUUAGGUAGCGCCUCGUGAAUUCAUCUCCGGGGGUAGAGCACUGUUUCGGCUAGGGGGCCAUCCCGGCUUACCAACCCGAUGCAAACUGCGAAUACCGGAGAAUGUUAUCACGGGAGACACACGGCGGGUGCUAACGUCCGUCGUGAAGAGGGAAACAACCCAGACCGCCAGCUAAGGUCCCAAAGUCAUGGUUAAGUGGGAAACGAUGUGGGAAGGCCCAGACAGCCAGGAUGUUGGCUUAGAAGCAGCCAUCAUUUAAAGAAAGCGUAAUAGCUCACUGGUCGAGUCGGCCUGCGCGGAAGAUGUAACGGGGCUAAACCAUGCACCGAAGCUGCGGCAGCGANNGUUGGGUAGGGGAGCGUUCUGUAAGCCUGCGAAGGUGGCCUGUGAGGGUUGCUGGAGGUAUCAGAAGUGCGAAUGCUGACAUAAGUAACGAUAAAGCGGGUGAAAAGCCCGCUCGCCGGAAGACCAAGGGUUCCUGUCCAACGUUAAUCGGGGCAGGGUGAGUCGACCCCUAAGGCGAGGCCGAAAGGCGUAGUCGAUGGGAAACGGGUUAAUAUUCCCGUACUUGGUGUUACUGCGAAGGGGGGACGGAGAAGGCUAUGUUGGCCGGGCGACGGUUGUCCCGGUUUAAGCGUGUAGGUGUGUGUUCCAGGUAAAUCCGGUUCACUUUAACACUGAGGCGUGAUGACGAGGCACUACGGUGCUGAAGCAACAAAUGCCCUGCUUCCAGGAAAAGCCUCUAAGCAUCAGGUAACAUCAAAUCGUACCCCAAACCGACACAGGUGGUCAGGUAGAGAAUACCAAGGCGCUUGAGAGAACUCGGGUGAAGGAACUAGGCAAAAUGGUGCCGUAACUUCGGGAGAAGGCACGCUGACACGUAGGUGAAGUGAUUUACUCAUGGAGCUGAAGUCAGUCGAAGAUACCAGCUGGCUGCAACUGUUUAUUAAAAACACAGCACUGUGCAAACACGAAAGUGGACGUAUACGGUGUGACGCCUGCCCGGUGCCGGAAGGUUAAUUGAUGGGGUCAGCGCAAGCGAAGCUCCUGAUCGAAGCCCCGGUAAACGGCGGCCGUAACUAUAACGGUCCUAAGGUAGCGAAAUUCCUUGUCGGGUAAGUUCCGACCUGCACGAAUGGCGUAAUGAUGGCCAGGCUGUCUCCACCCGAGACUCAGUGAAAUUGAACUCGCUGUGAAGAUGCAGUGUACCCGCGGCAAGACGGAAAGACCCCGUGAACCUUUACUAUAGCUUGACACUGAACAUUGAGCCUUGAUGUGUAGGAUAGGUGGGAGGCUUUGAAGCGUGGACGCCAGUCUGCGUGGAGCCGACCUUGAAAUACCACCCUUUAAUGUUUGAUGUUCUAACGUGGACCCGUAAUCCGGGUUGCGGACAGUGUCUGGUGGGUAGUUUGACUGGGGCGGUCUCCUCCUAAAGAGUAACGGAGGAGCACGAAGGUUGGCUAAUCCUGGUCGGACAUCAGGAGGUUAGUGCAAUGGCAUAAGCCAGCUUGACUGCGAGCGUGACGGCGCGAGCAGGUGCGAAAGCAGGUCAUAGUGAUCCGGUGGUUCUGAAUGGAAGGGCCAUCGCUCAACGGAUAAAAGGUACUCCGGGGAUAACAGGCUGAUACCGCCCAAGAGUUCAUAUCGACGGCGGUGUUUGGCACCUCGAUGUCGGCUCAUCACAUCCUGGGGCUGAAGUAGGUCCCAAGGGUAUGGCUGUUCGCCAUUUAAAGUGGUACGCGAGCUGGGUUUAGAACGUCGUGAGACAGUUCGGUCCCUAUCUGCCGUGGGCGCUGGAGAACUGAGGGGGGCUGCUCCUAGUACGAGAGGACCGGAGUGGACGCAUCACUGGUGUUCGGGUUGUCAUGCCAAUGGCACUGCCCGGUAGCUAAAUGCGGAAGAGAUAAGUGCUGAAAGCAUCUAAGCACGAAACUUGCCCCGAGAUGAGUUCUCCCUGAGACUUAGAGUCUCCUGAAGGAACGUUGAAGACGACGACGUUGAUAGGCCGGGUGUGUAAGCGCAGCGAUGCGUUGAGCUAACCGGUACUAAUGAACCGUGAGGCUUAACCUUACAACGCCGAAG